Long non-coding RNA from Macrobrachium nipponense, 691 nucleotides. RefSeq lists it as uncharacterized. The transcript is spliced from 3 exons. NCBI's taxonomy places the organism in Eukaryota, Metazoa, Arthropoda, Malacostraca, Decapoda, Palaemonidae. The record is from RefSeq and is a predicted model, not a curated record.
CCGGACACAAAGGGUACGCACACGAAGAGACAUCGACGAAGACACCAUUCAGGAAAUGUUCGAAAUCGUAGCCCAGGUUGACGUCAACGCCUGCGGUCUGAAACUUGUGUGCGACCUGUACCAGAAGCCGAAGUCUGAUCUCUCAGUGAAGGAAUCAGCCAUUAUGCAACUUAUCGGAGAAAACCCCAAGCCAGUAGCCCCUGAGAAGGUGAAGGACGCACGCGCCCGCUACCAGUCAGCCGCCAUCUGGGUCUGCGAGGAGAGAAGUGCUCCGUCCUGUACGCGUCUUGUUCUCUGACCGAGGACAAGGUUCACACUUACCUCGACUCCCUCGAGGUCCAGGGAGACAAGAACUUCAAGGAAAUACUCGAAAAUCAUAAGAUAAGCGCAUAAGUGUCCUACGAGAGAGACAGAUGGGGGCUAGAUGGCUAUAAAACUCAUGGCCUAUCCUACGGGCUGCUCUAGGAGCAAGAGCCCGUGCCAGCACAAGGCUGGCGUAAUCUUCAACAACAACAACAACUCCGUCUGAUGCUGUAGGGAGACUCAUUCACAGAAUAUCUAUUUUUUCUGGAUUUUCCUUUCACAUUUUAACAAGACUUAGCUGUCAGUUUCUUUUUACGCUCUGGAGGAACGGCACCGCUGUGAAUCGACUACAUCUCGUUACGAUUCUAAUAAACUGUUACUUUCUUUA